UACAGAGGUCUCAAGCGUUGUUCGGAAUUACUGGGCGUAAAGGGUGCGCAGGCCGCGCGGGCAGUCAAAUGUGUAAUUCAGGGGCUCAACCCCUGCACUGCGCUUGAUACUUCCGCGCUCGAGCUUUGGAGAGGAGUCUGGAAUUCUCGGUGUAGCAGUGAAAUGCGUGGAUAUCGAGAAGAACACUUAGGGCGAAGGCAAGACUCUGGACAAAUGCUGACGCUCAUGCACGAAGGCUAGGGUAGCGAAC
This 250-nucleotide ribosomal RNA is filed under the name uncultured bacterium. Its description in RNAcentral is "partial 16S ribosomal RNA". It matches the Rfam family "Bacterial small subunit ribosomal RNA", at positions 524 to 773 of the family's 1533-position model. The record is from RNAcentral.